UUCAGGAUGAACGCUAGCUACAGGCUUAACACAUGCAAGUCGAGGGGCAGCAUGGUCUUAGCUUGCUAAGGCCGAUGGCGACCGGCGCACGGGUGAGUAACACGUAUCCAACCUGCCGUCUACUCUUGGACAGCCUUCUGAAAGGAAGAUUAAUACAAGAUGGCAUCAUGAGUCCACAUGUUCACAUGAUUAAAGGUAUUCCGGUAGACGAUGGGGAUGCGUUCCAUUAGAUAGUAGGCGGGGUAACGGCCCACCUAGUCUUCGAUGGAUAGGGGUUCUGAGAGGAAGGUCCCCCACAUUGGAACUGAGACACGGUCCAAACUCCUACGGGAGGCAGCAGUGAGGAAUAUUGGUCAAUGGGCGAGAGCCUGAACCAGCCAAGUAGCGUGAAGGAUGACUGCCCUAUGGGUUGUAAACUUCUUUUAUAAAGGAAUAAAGUCGGGUAUGCAUACCCGUUUGCAUGUACUUUAUGAAUAAGGAUCGGCUAACUCCGUGCCAGCAGCCGCGGUAAUACGGAGGAUCCGAGCGUUAUCCGGAUUUAUUGGGUUUAAAGGGAGCGUAGAUGGAUGUUUAAGUCAGUUGUGAAAGUUUGCGGCUCAACCGUAAAAUUGCAGUUGAUACUGGAUAUCUUGAGUGCAGUUGAGGCAGGCGGAAUUCGUGGUGUAGCGGUGAAAUGCUUAGAUAUCACGAAGAACUCCGAUUGCGAAGGCAGCCUGCUAAGCUGCAACUGACAUUGAGGCUCGAAAGUGUGGGUAUCAAACAGGAUUAGAUACCCUGGUAGUCCACACGGUAAACGAUGAAUACUCGCUGUUUGCGAUAUACGGCAAGCGGCCAAGCGAAAGCGUUAAGUAUUCCACCUGGGGAGUACGCCGGCAACGGUGAAACUCAAAGGAAUUGACGGGGGCCCGCACAAGCGGAGGAACAUGUGGUUUAAUUCGAUGAUACGCGAGGAACCUUACCCGGGCUUAAAUUGCAGAUGAAUUACGGUGAAAGCCGUAAGCCGCAAGGCAUCUGUGAAGGUGCUGCAUGGUUGUCGUCAGCUCGUGCCGUGAGGUGUCGGCUUAAGUGCCAUAACGAGCGCAACCCUUGUUGUCAGUUACUAACAGGUUCCGCUGAGGACUCUGACAAGACUGCCAUCGUAAGAUGUGAGGAAGGUGGGGAUGACGUCAAAUCAGCACGGCCCUUACGUCCGGGGCUACACACGUGUUACAAUGGGGGGUACAGAGGGCCGCUACCACGCGAGUGGAUGCCAAUCCCCAAAACCUCUCUCAGUUCGGACUGGAGUCUGCAACCCGACUCCACGAAGCUGGAUUCGCUAGUAAUCGCGCAUCAGCCACGGCGCGGUGAAUACGUUCCCGGGCCUUGUACACACCGCCCGUCAAGCCAUGGGAGCCGGGGGUACCUGAAGUGCGUAACCGCGAGGAGCGCCCUAGGGUAAAAC
RNAcentral lists this ribosomal RNA (1441 nucleotides) under uncultured organism. RNAcentral describes it as "SSU rRNA". It matches the Rfam family "Bacterial small subunit ribosomal RNA". The record is from RNAcentral.